RNAcentral lists this ribosomal RNA (477 nucleotides) under uncultured bacterium. Its description in RNAcentral is "partial 16S ribosomal RNA". It matches the Rfam family "Bacterial small subunit ribosomal RNA", at positions 30 to 507 of the family's 1533-position model. The record is from RNAcentral.
AUUGAACGCUGGCGGCAUGCCUUACACAUGCAAGUCGAACGGUAACAGGUUAAGCUGACGAGUGGCGAACGGGUGAGUAAUGUAUCGGAACGUGCCCAGUCGUGGGGGAUAACUGCUCGAAAGAGCAGCUAAUACCGCAUACGCCCUGAGGGUGAAAGCGGGGGAUCGCAAGACCUCGCGCGAUUGGAGCGGCCGAUAUCAGAUUAGGUAGUUGGUGAGGUAAAGGCUCACCAAGCCGACGAUCUGUAGCUGGUCUGAGAGGACGAACAGCCACACUGUGACUGAGACACGGCCCAGACUCCUACGGGAGGCAGCAGUGGGGAAUUUUGGACAAUGGGCGCAAGCCUGAUCCAGCCAUGCCGCGUGCGGGAAGAAGGCCUUAGGGUUGUAAACCGCUUUUGUCAGGGAAGAAAAGGUUCUGGCUAAUACCUGGGACUCAUGACGGUACCUGAAGAAUAAGCACCGGCUAACUACGUG